ACGGGUGAGUAACGCGUGGGAAUCUACCCAUCUCUACGGAAUAACGCAUGGAAACGUGUGCUAAUACCGUAUACGUCCUUCGGGAGAAAGAUUUAUCGGAGAUGGAUGAGCCCGCGUUGGAUUAGCUAGUUGGUGGGGUAAAGGCCUACCAAGACGACGAUCCAUAGCUGGUCUGAGAGGAUGAUCAGCCACACUGGGACUGAGACACGGCCCAGACUCCUACGGGAGGCAGCAGUGGGGAAUAUUGGACAAUGGGCGCAAGCCUGAUCCAGCCAUGCCGCGUGAGUGAUGAAGGCCCUAGGGUUGUAAAGCUCUUUCACCGGUGAAGAUAAUGACGGUAACCGGAGAAGAAGCCCCGGCUAACUUCGUGCCAGCAGCCGCGGUAAUACGAAGGGGGCUAGCGUUGUUCGGAUUUACUGGGCGUAAAGCGCACGUAGGCGGACUAUUAAGUCAGGGGUGAAAUCCCGGGGCUCAACCCCGGAACUGCCUUUGAUACUGGUAGUCUUGAGUUCGAGAGAGGUGAGUGGAAUUCCGAGUGUAGAGGUGAAAUUCGUAGA
This 557-nucleotide ribosomal RNA is filed under the name uncultured bacterium. Its description in RNAcentral is "bacterial SSU rRNA". It matches the Rfam family "Bacterial small subunit ribosomal RNA", at positions 102 to 694 of the family's 1533-position model. The record is from RNAcentral.